AUGCAGUCGAGCGGAUGAAGAGAGCUUGCUCUCUGAUUUAGCGGCGGACGGGUGAGUAAUGCCUAGGAAUCUGCCUGGUAGUGGGGGAUAACGUUCCGAAAGGAACGCUAAUACCGCAUACGUCCUACGGGAGAAAGCAGGGGACCUUCGGGCCUUGCGCUAUCAGAUGAGCCUAGGUCGGAUUAGCUAGUUGGUGAGGUAAUGGCUCACCAAGGCGACGAUCCGUAACUGGUCUGAGAGGAUGAUCAGUCACACUGGAACUGAGACACGGUCCAGACUCCUACGGGAGGCAGCAGUGGGGAAUAUUGGACAAUGGGCGAAAGCCUGAUCCAGCCAUGCCGCGUGUGUGAAGAAGGUCUUCGGAUUGUAAAGCACUUUAAGUUGGGAGGAAGGGCAUUAACCUAAUACGUUAGUGUUUUGACGUUACCAACAGAAUAAGCACCGGCUAACUUCGUGCCAGCAGCCGCGGUAAUACGAAGGGUGCAAGCGUUAAUCGGAAUUACUGGGCGUAAAGCGCGCGUAGGUGGUUCGUUAAGUUGGAUGUGAAAGCCCCGGGCUCAACCUGGGAACUGCAUCCAAAACUGGCGAGCUAGAGUACGGUAGAGGGUAGUGGAAUUUCCUGUGUAGCGGUGAAAUGCGUAGAUAUAGGAAGGAACACCAGUGGCGAAGGCGACUACCUGGACUGAUACUGACACUGAGGUGCGAAAGCGUGGGGAGCAAACAGGAUUAGAUACCCUGGUAGUCCACGCCGUAAACGAUGUCAACUAG
This 768-nucleotide ribosomal RNA is filed under the name Ectopseudomonas oleovorans. RNAcentral's name for it is "bacterial SSU rRNA". It matches the Rfam family "Bacterial small subunit ribosomal RNA", at positions 55 to 819 of the family's 1533-position model. Lineage: Bacteria; Pseudomonadati; Pseudomonadota; Gammaproteobacteria; Pseudomonadales; Pseudomonadaceae. The record is from RNAcentral.